This 237-nucleotide ribosomal RNA is filed under the name uncultured bacterium. RNAcentral describes it as "partial 16S ribosomal RNA". It matches the Rfam family "Bacterial small subunit ribosomal RNA", at positions 112 to 334 of the family's 1533-position model. The record is from RNAcentral.
AACGCGUAAAUAAUCUACCCCUGCAUUUGGGAUAACCCACCGAAAGGUGAGCUAAUACCGGAUACGUUCUUUAGAUUGCGAGAUUUAGAGAAGAAAGGUGGCCUCUGAUAUAAGCUACUGUGCGGGGAAGAGUUUGCGUACCAUUAGCUAGUUGGUAGGGUAAUGGCCUACCAAGGCGACGAUGGUUAGCGGGUCUGAGAGGAUGAUCCGCCACACUGGAACUGGAACACGGACCAG